UACAGAGGUCCCAAGCGUUGUUCGGAUUCACUGGGCGUAAAGGGUGCGCAGGUGGCAUGGUAAGUUUGGUGUGAAAGCUUCGGGCUUAACCCGGAAAUGGCAUUGAAUACUACUGUGCUGGAGGAUUGGAGGGGGGACUGGAAUUCUUGGUGUAGCAGUGAAAUGCGUAGAUAUCAAGAGGAACACCAGUGGCGAAGGCGAGUCCCUGGACAAUUCCUGACACUGAGGCACGAAAGCCAAGGGAGCAAACAGG
This 253-nucleotide ribosomal RNA is filed under the name uncultured bacterium. Its description in RNAcentral is "partial 16S ribosomal RNA". It matches the Rfam family "Bacterial small subunit ribosomal RNA", at positions 524 to 776 of the family's 1533-position model. The record is from RNAcentral.